UGCAGAGGGUGCAAGCGUUAAUCGGAAUUACUGGGCGUAAAGCGUGCGUAGACGGUUAUGUAAGUCAGAUGUGAAAGCCCCGGGCUUAACCUGGGAAUGGCAUUUGAGACUGCAUAGCUAGGGUGCGGAAGAGGGAAGCGGAAUUUCCGGUGUAGCGGUGAAAUGCGUAGAUAUCGGAAGGAACACCAGUGGCGAAAGCGGCUUCCUGGUCCAGCACCGACGUUCAGGCACGAAAGCGUGGGGAGCAAACAGG
This 253-nucleotide ribosomal RNA is filed under the name uncultured bacterium. RNAcentral describes it as "partial 16S ribosomal RNA". It matches the Rfam family "Bacterial small subunit ribosomal RNA", at positions 524 to 776 of the family's 1533-position model. The record is from RNAcentral.